This 253-nucleotide ribosomal RNA is filed under the name uncultured bacterium. RNAcentral's name for it is "partial 16S ribosomal RNA". It matches the Rfam family "Bacterial small subunit ribosomal RNA", at positions 524 to 776 of the family's 1533-position model. The record is from RNAcentral.
UACGGAGGGGGCUAGCGUUGUUCGGAAUUACUGGGCGUAAAGCGUGCGUAGGCGGCUUCUCAAGUCAGGGGUGAAAGCCCAGAGCUCAACUCUGGAAUUGCCUUUGAGACUGAGUGGCUUGAGUACGGGAGAGGUGAGUGGAAUUCCCAGUGUAGAGGUGAAAUUCGUAGAUAUUGGGAAGAACACCGGUGGCGAAGGCGGCUCACUGGCCCGUAACUGACGCUCAUGCACGACAGCGUGGGGAUCAAACAGG